UGCCUCUAGACUGUGCUCCACAAACAGGAUAAGCCAUUCUAAAUGUCACACUCUGAACUUCACCCACAAACAGUGAAUGUCUUACCUCUCUGUACUCUGUUCUAGCUUUUGCCAGGAAUGAUUCUGGUCUAUACUACUGUGCCAGCAGGAAUUCAUACUUUGACUCCUUUGUAUUCGGAAAUGGAUCACAAGCGCUCAUAAUAGGCAACUGGAACACCAGUGAAAAAUCAGCAGAAUUUCAACAACAUGUUCCAAAGAAAGAGACUCUCUAUGCUCACUUGGCCUUGACUGAAGAUCCAAUACUUUGAUGUGCCCAGCAUUACUGAAUUAAAGAACAUGCCCAAUGAUUUCUAUCAUUGCGAAGUCAGUUAGAAACAGUAAUAAUUGAAGGUGCUCUUCCUUGAAUCUGUGCUGUGUCUGUAUAUCAAAAUCCAUUUGUAUGGAAAUGGAAUGUUAAUUUAGAAGAGCGACUGAUGCUGCCUCAGAUAAAGAUUUUAUUACCUCUGCCCAAUAUAAUACCCAAUUAUCAUCAAUGAUUUACCACUCUGAAGUAGGAAUGGCUGAAAUAGAAAGGAUUCAACCACUACUGAGGGCUGUUUUGUUUUGUGCUAUUAUUCUUUUUUCAAUUUUGCAGACAAGGCCAUUACUUACUAAGUAUCCUAAGUACUUAUUCAGAAAGUGAGUCCAAGUUUCCUAUGUAUGCGCUGUAGAUUUUGCAGAGAAGGUAUUGUCAAAGUGCCAUUAAAGAGUAUGUUGAAUGCAUUGAAUAUUAAGUUGAUGGUAGUGGGAAGAAUAACAGUAUAUUUCCAAAUUAAUGCAGUCGGUAAUUUGGACUGGACUGCUUAAUUUCUUGUGCUGAUAGAGCCUGCUAACGUUUAUUCUGCUUGUGGGUAGUAACUGCAAUUUUGGACAUUUCUUUGAAAUUAUCUUGGCAAUAUUCUUCUGUGCAUGCCUUAGAUAUACUCCUGCCUUUAUCAUGGUGAUGGAGA
Long non-coding RNA from Stegostoma tigrinum, 989 nucleotides. RefSeq lists it as uncharacterized. The transcript is spliced from 4 exons. The record is from RefSeq and is a predicted model, not a curated record. Lineage: Eukaryota; Metazoa; Chordata; Chondrichthyes; Orectolobiformes; Stegostomatidae.